Non-coding RNA from Rhodospirillaceae bacterium BRH_c57, 2744 nucleotides. The record is from Rfam. Lineage: Bacteria; Pseudomonadati; Pseudomonadota; Alphaproteobacteria; Rhodospirillales; Rhodospirillaceae.
UCUCAAGCGUGAGAAGGGCAUCUGGUGGAUGCCUUGGCACUCAGAGGCGAUGAAGGACGUGGCACCCUGCGAAAAGCUUCGGGGAGAUGGGAGCAAUCUUUGAUCCGAAGAUAUCCGAAUGGGGAAACCCACCGCUUAGGCGGUAUCCCUGGCUGAAUACAUAGGCCAGGGAAGCGAACCCGGGGAACUGAAACAUCUAAGUACCCGGAGGAAAGGAAAUCAACCGAGACUCCGCUAGUAGUGGCGAGCGAACGCGGACUAGCCCAGUGGCCCUUGUGUAAGAACCGGAAGCGUCUGGAAAGUCGCACCAAAGCGGGUGAUAGUCCCGUACGGGUAGAAAGCACUUGGGUCCUCGAGUAAGGCGGGACACGUGAAAUCCUGUCUGAACAUGGGGGGACCACCCUCCAAGGCUAAGUACUCCUGAGUGACCGAUAGUGAACCAGUACCGUGAGGGAAAGGUGAAAAGCACCCCGAUGAGGGGAGUGAAACAGUUCCUGAAACCGGAUGCCUACAAGCAGUAGGAGCACCCUUGAGGUGUGACUGCGUACCUUUUGUAUAAUGGGUCAGCGACUUACCGUGUCGUGCAAGCUUAAGCCGUUAGGUGUAGGCGAAGCGAAAGCGAGUCUGAAUAGGGCGUUCAGUUCGACGCGGUAGACCCGAAACCGGGUGAUCUAGCCAUGGCCAGGUUGAAGGUGGAGUAACACCCACUGGAGGACCGAACCCACGUCUGUUGAAAAAGACGGGGAUGAGCUGUGGCUAGGGGUGAAAGGCCAAUCAAACUCGGAAAUAGCUGGUUCUCCGCGAAAUCUAUUUAGGUAGAGCGUCGGAUGAAUACCACCGGGGGUAGAGCACUGGAUCGGGACGGGGGGCGCGAGCCUUACCAACUCGAACCAAACUCCGAAUACCGGUGAGUACUAUCCGGCAGACAGACGGCGGGUGCUAAGGUCCGUCGUCAAAAGGGAAACAGCCCAGAUCGCCAGCUAAGGUCCCCAAGUCACGGCUAAGUGGGAAAGGAUGUGGGACGGCCAAAACAACCAGGAGGUUGGCUUAGAAGCAGCCAUCCUUUAAAGAAAGCGUAACAGCUCACUGGUCUAAAUAAGCUGUCCUGCGCCGAAGAUGUACCGGGGCUCAAGCCGUGCACCGAAGCUGCGAGUCUAUCCUUCGGGAUAGGCGGUAGCGGAGCGUUCCGUAAGCCUGCGAAGGUGAACCGUGAGGUUUGCUGGAGGUAUCGGAAGUGAGAAUGCUGACAUGAGUAGCGAUAAACAGUGUGAGAAACACUGUCGCCGAAAGUCCAAGGGUUCCUGCGCAAGGCUAAUCCGCGCAGGGUGAGCCGGCCCCUAAGGCGAGGCUGAAAAGCGUAGUCGAUGGGAACCAGGUUAAUAUUCCUGGGCCAGAUGGAAGUGACGGUUUCCGUAAGUUGUCUCCCCUUAUCGGAUUGGGGGGGCGGCGAAGGAGGCCCUGGAAAUAACUCCAUCAUCAGACCGUACCCUAAACCGACACAGGUGGACUGGUAGAGAAUACCAAGGCGCUUGAGAGAAUGGUGUUGAAGGAACUAGGCAAAAUACCCUCGUAACUUCGGGAGAAGAGGGCCUCCCAUUUGGGCAACCAGAUGGGAGGGGCACAGACCAGGGGGUGGCGACUGUUUAUUAAAAACACAGGGCUCUGCGAAGUCGCAAGACGACGUAUAGGGUCUGACGCCUGCCCGGUGCCGGAAGGUUAAGAGGAGGGGUGCAAGCUCUGAAUUGAAGCCCCGGUAAACGGCGGCCGUAACUAUAACGGUCCUAAGGUAGCGAAAUUCCUUGUCGGGUAAGUUCCGACCUGCACGAAUGGCGUAACGACUUCCCCGCUGUCUCCAACACCAACUCAGCGAAAUUGAACUCUCCGUGAAGAUGCGGAGUUCCCGCGGUCAGACGGAAAGACCCCGUGCACCUUUACUACAGCUUCACAGUGGCACCAGAAAAUGGAUGUGUAGGAUAGGUGGGAGGCUAUGAACCCGAGGCGCUAGCUUCGGUGGAGCCAACCUUGAAAUACCACCCUUCUGUUUUUUGUUGUCUAACCGCGGUCCGUUAUCCGGAUCCGGGACCCUGUGUGGCGGGUAGUUUGACUGGGGCGGUCGCCUCCCAAAGAGUAACGGAGGCGCGCGAUGGUAAGCUCAGAGCGGUCGGAAAUCGCUCGAUGAGUGCAAGAGCAAAAGCUUGCCUGACUGCGACAUCGACAGAUGGAGCAGAGACGAAAGUCGGUUCUAGUGAUCCGGUGGUCCCGUGUGGAAGGGCCAUCGCUCAACGGAUAAAAGGUACGCCGGGGAUAACAGGCUGAUACUCCCCAAGAGUCCACAUCGACGGGAGUGUUUGGCACCUCGAUGUCGGCUCAUCUCAUCCUGGGGCUGGAGCAGGUCCCAAGGGUAUGGCUGUUCGCCAUUUAAAGAGGUACGUGAGCUGGGUUUAGAACGUCGUGAGACAGUUCGGUCCCUAUCUGCCGUGGGUGUAGGAUGUUUGAGAGGAUCUGUCCCUAGUACGAGAGGACCGGGAUGGACGUACCUCUGGUGUACCAGUUGUUCCGCCAGGAGCACCGCUGGGUAGCUAUGUACGGACGGGAUAACCGCUGAAAGCAUCUAAGCGGGAAACCUCCCUCAAAACCAGGCAUCCCUUGAGAGCCGUGGAAGACCACCACGUUGAUAGGCCGGGUGUGGAAGCGCAGUAAUGUGUGAAGCUAACCGGUACUAAUCGCUCGAUUGGCUUGAGAGC